Molecule: long non-coding RNA, 397 nt
Organism: Mytilus californianus (California mussel)
Lineage: Eukaryota; Metazoa; Mollusca; Bivalvia; Mytilida; Mytilidae
Exons: 3
Source: RefSeq, a predicted model, not a curated record
GUUUGUGAUAAGAUAAUACUUUUGUAGACAUUUUACAUUUAAAAGUGUCAUCAGGAAGAUUCGGUUUUUUUUACCAAUAUCUGGAGAAAUUCAAUUCUGAAGAGGAAAAAUUUUAUGGACAUCGUUCUUGUUUAAUAUUAGGAAGGACAGAAUAUAUCUACCAAAGAUAAAUGUUUAAACGAAAAGAAAUCAAUGUUAUAUUAAACAUAACAGAAUGAACGCGCAAGCUACAAUUAGUCCAUUAAAACUGAUAACAACACCUGGUUUACAGAUACAAGACGAUCAGAAUAAAGUUCCAAUGAUUACAGGUCCCCCAGGAGAUUUGAAUAACGAAAAGAAAAGGUGGCUGAUUAUUGGGAUAUGUCUGCAUACGAUUAUUUCUCCUCUGCUGAGAAAA